AAACGUAGGACGCAAGCGUUAUCCGGAAUUACUGGGCGUAAAGGGCGUGCAGGCGGUUCUUUAAGUUAGGCGUGAAAGCUCCGGGCUAAACCUGGAGAGGUCGUCUGAUACUGGGGAACUAGAGUGUGGUAGAGGGGUGUAGAAUUCCGGGUGUAGUGGUGAAAUGCGUAGAUAUCCGGAGGAAUACCAGUGGCGAAGGCGGCACCCUGGGCCAUAACUGACGCUAAGACGCGAAAGCAUGGGUAGCGAACGGGAUUAGAAACCCCGGUAGUCCAUGCCGUAAACGAUGUGGACUCGGUGUUCUGACAGGGAAGCCUGUUGGAGUGCCCCAGCAAGCGCGGUAAGUGCACCGCCUGGGGAGUACGGUCGCAAGGCUAAA
This 379-nucleotide ribosomal RNA is filed under the name uncultured bacterium. RNAcentral describes it as "bacterial SSU rRNA". It matches the Rfam family "Bacterial small subunit ribosomal RNA", at positions 523 to 898 of the family's 1533-position model. The record is from RNAcentral.